AUUGCACGCUGGCGGCAGGCCUAACACAUGCAAAUCGAGCGAGCGGAGGACGGGUUAGUAAUGUAUGGUGACUGCCCGAUAGAGGUGGAUAACUACUGGAAACGGUAGCUAACACCGCAUAAUAUCUGAUACCCCCUAUGGGAUUAGCUCGUAGGUGUGGUAAUGUCUCACCUAGGCGACGAUCCCUAGCUGUUCUGAGAGGAUGAUCAGCAACACGGGAACUGAGACACGGCCCAUGCUCGUAUGGAGUCAGCAGGGGGGAAUGUGGAACAAGGGGCGAAAGCCUGAUGCAUCGAAGCCGCGUGUGUUAAGAGGGCCCUAGGGUUUUAAAGUACUUUCAGUCUGGAGGCGUUACCGUUAGAAGAAGCACCUGCUAACUCCGUGCUAGCCGCCGCGGUAAUUC
Molecule: ribosomal RNA, 403 nt
Filed under: uncultured bacterium
Lineage: Bacteria
Description: partial 16S ribosomal RNA
Rfam family: Bacterial small subunit ribosomal RNA
Source: RNAcentral